RNAcentral lists this ribosomal RNA (253 nucleotides) under uncultured bacterium. Its description in RNAcentral is "partial 16S ribosomal RNA". It matches the Rfam family "Bacterial small subunit ribosomal RNA", at positions 524 to 776 of the family's 1533-position model. The record is from RNAcentral.
UACGUAGGGUGCGAGCGUUGUCCGGAAUUAUUGGGCGCAAAGAGCUUGUAGGCGGUUUGUCGCGUCUGCUGUGAAAAUCCGGGGCUCAACCCCGGACUUGCAGUGGGUACGGGCAGACUAGAGUGUGGUAGGGGAGACUGGAAUUCCUGGUGUAGCGGUGAAAUGCGCAGAUAUCAGGAGGAACACCGAUGGCGAAGGCAGGUCUCUGGGCCACUACUGACGCUGAGAAGCGAAAGCAUGGGGAGCGAACAGG